CAGCCGCCGCGGUAAUACGUAGGGUGCAAGCGUUAAUCGGAAUUACUGGGCGUAAAGCGUGCGCAGGCGGUUAUAUAAGACAGAUGUGAAAUCCCCGGGCUCAACCUGGGAACUGCAUUUGUGACUGUAUAGCUAAAGUACGGCAGAGGGGGAUGGAAUUCCGCGUGUAGCAGUGAAAUGCGUAGAUAUGCGGAGGAACACCGAUGGCGAAGGCAAUCCCCUGGGCCUGUACUGACGCUCAUGCACGAAAGCGUGGGGAGCAAACAGGAUUAGAUACCCCAGUAGUCCCUGUCUCUUAUAC
This 301-nucleotide ribosomal RNA is filed under the name uncultured bacterium. Its description in RNAcentral is "partial 16S ribosomal RNA". It matches the Rfam family "Bacterial small subunit ribosomal RNA", at positions 509 to 807 of the family's 1533-position model. The record is from RNAcentral.